GGGAUCGGACGGGAGAAAUAGAGAAGGACAGACGAUUGCUGCAGGAGGAGCAGGAGUCCUUGCGCGUGGACACCCUCCCGUUCUCCCAGGUAACACCAUGGAAUCCCAUCGUCUAAUUUUGGUCGCUCUUGUGAGUAUUUAUUCCAAUCAUAUCCCAUAUCCGCUGAAACUGAAGGUGAUCCGGCUACCAUGUCAUGGAUUCAGGGUAGUGUGUGGGAUUUCCAGUAGAAGAGUAGCUACUCACAAGCUUGAUGCCGCAAAGGCAUCUUCCUACUCUUCUGAGAACUUCCACCAAUAAGCUCCACGCGCUCCUGCACCUUCUUAUGAGUCAAUAGAAGAGUAGCUACUCACCUUCCUACGUCUCUGUCAUGUAGUUUCUAACGAUCUUUUAUGUGCCAUGUCGGCAAGGCCACAAGGGUGAUUGAUAAAAAAUCCAAGCAGGCUCCAUGUGAGGUGAAUCAAGGUAAUCAAUAUGUAGUGAAUGGGAUAAACUCCUCUCCCUCAUGUUGUUGAAUUCUCUGUUCUAUCUUUUAGGCUGGUUGAUGUGCUUUGAUUCGUGAUCUGGGUCGGCGCAUCUGUCAUUUUCGGUUGCAAAGGCGCACUAGCUCAUGCCUCACUUGGGUGAUAUAAUUUUUUUUGCGGUUUCUUGUAAACUACAGUGUGUUAUGCAGAUGUAAAAAAGCCAUUCAGGUUCUACAUCCUGCCUAGCAGGUUCUUUGUUAUGACGCAAGAGGAAUUCCUUUCUUAUUGACCCUUCAAGUGGGAGUCUUUUAGAGGCAGCUUUCGUGCUUUUGCCUUCUACUGGAACUCCAUGCAGAUUCUGAGUUCAGGGAGUGUAUUUGGCCUAAAUAAAGAACUUUAUUAUGGUUUUUGAUAAAAGAAAUAUGGACUUCCAAUUAGUUUGAAGGUUAUCGAUUAUAUGCGGCAAGGCCAUUUGAUUAAGUUGUCUCUUUCUUGACACCAUUUUCUAUGCAAGCUAUUUGAAUACAUAUUUUGCAAGACAAAGUACAGAAGUGUGUUUGGGUGAGGUCCAGAUUAAACAUCUCACUUUUUGUUUCAGAAAUCAUCUCUACUUAAGUCCAAGAGGUCACCAGGUGAAGGGAUGGAUAAACUAUCAGGUUGCAUUAAUUUGGAGCUAUGAAACUGGUAAAAGGAUUAUAGUUUCUACUAAUUUAUCACAUAUUAUGCGUCUUUUCUACUUUAGACUAAUUAUUACAGUAGAAUAUAUUGGCAAUAGACUGCCAUUCUCACCUUUGGUAUUGCAUAUUUUUUCUUGACAGCCUAUUACAUUGGAACUUGGUGAAGAAGUCGUAUCUGAGUAUGUUGACAUUGGCAAAAGGUACAUGCCGCAUGCUGAGACAUAUAUUCGUUGUGUGAGACAGAGGUUAAAUGCUCUGUAAAUAAAGAGAGACAACAAGGAUUGGUGAGUUUAUAGUCCCACUUUUGUACCGUUUUUAUACAAUGACAACAAUGAGCGACAUAUGUACUUCUCAUCCAAUUAGUUUUCUAGCAUGUAAAUGUAAGUAUUUCUUCAUGCACGUGAGAAAGACAAAUAUUUGUUCCUACAUGUUUGAGGAUAUGUAUAACCAUACUAUGGAAUGCAAUUGUGCUGAGGAGGAACGAGGAGGAGAGAUGUGUG
Molecule: long non-coding RNA, 1639 nt
Filed under: Triticum aestivum (bread wheat)
Lineage: Eukaryota; Viridiplantae; Streptophyta; Magnoliopsida; Poales; Poaceae
Description: long non-coding RNA (TAES_LNC022058)
Source: RNAcentral